This is a long non-coding RNA of Sinocyclocheilus anshuiensis, 238 nucleotides long. RefSeq lists it as uncharacterized. The transcript has 3 exons. The record is from RefSeq and is a predicted model, not a curated record. Lineage: Eukaryota; Metazoa; Chordata; Actinopteri; Cypriniformes; Cyprinidae.
CAUAACAUAUAGUGAUUAGUCAAUAAUCACUGACGAAAAAUAAUGAUUCUUCUUUUUCUCUCUUUUGCUUGUUUCAACAGGAGCUAACUACACCCCAAAGGCUAUUUUAGGAGCCACAGCACUGAGCAUCUUUGGCUUUGAGCCAACUACACCCCAGAGACUCUUUUAAGGGCCACCUAGAAUCACGGCACCUUUGGCUUUAUCAGCUGUCGGUGGUUAUGGAGGCCAUGCAGCCAAG